CUCAGAAGCAGAGAUACCCCUGGAGGAGCGAGGGGUUCCAGCCCCACACUGGGCUUCCCAGCCCAAGGUUCCA
RNAcentral lists this microRNA precursor (73 nucleotides) under Pteropus vampyrus (large flying fox). Its description in RNAcentral is "miRNA (ENSPVAG00000027734.1)". The record is from RNAcentral. Lineage: Eukaryota; Metazoa; Chordata; Mammalia; Chiroptera; Pteropodidae.